CCUACGGGUGGCAGCAGUGGGGAAUAUUGCACAAUGGGCGAAAGCCUGAUGCAGCCACGCCGCGUGAGUGAAGAAGGACCUCGGUAUGUAAAGCUCUAUCAGCAGGGAAGAAAACGACGGUACCUGUCUAAUAAGCCCUGGCCAAUUCCGGGCCAGCAGCCGCGGUAAUACGGCGGGUGCAAGCGCUAUCCGGAUUGACUGGGUGUAAAGCGAGCGUAGGCGGGUGGACAAGUCUGGUGUGAAAUCCCGGGGUUUAACCCGGGAACUGCAUUGGAAACUGGACGGCUGGAGUGCAGGAGGGGGAGGGGGAAUUCGUGGUGUAGCGGUGAAAUGCGUAGAGAUCAGGAGGAACACCGGUGGCGAAGGCGGCUUACUGGACUAAGACUGACGUUGAGGCGCGAAAGCGUGGGGAGCAAACAGGAUUAGAUACCCCUGUAGUC
Molecule: ribosomal RNA, 440 nt
Filed under: uncultured bacterium
Lineage: Bacteria
Description: partial 16S ribosomal RNA
Rfam family: Bacterial small subunit ribosomal RNA
Source: RNAcentral